AUAUUGCACGCUGGCCAGGGUAACACAUGCGAGUCGAACACGGACAGGAAAAAGCUUGUGCUUUUUUCUGACAAGAGGGGGACGGGUGAGUGAUGUGUGGGAAACUGCGCCUGGGAGGGGGAUAACUACUGUGAAAACGAGCUAAAACCGCAUAUAACCGCAAGAGCCAAGAGAGGGACCUUCGGGCGUCUUGUGAUAUCAGAUGCGCCCAUAGGAUAUGCGCUAGUGUGGGGGAUAACCUCUCCUAUAGGACAAUCCCUAUAUGUGCUGAGAGAGUGACCAGCCACACUGUGACUGUGAGACGGGCCCGACACUCCACGGGGGACGGCAGUGUGGGAAUAUUUCGCAAAGGGCGCACGAGUGUGGUGGCCCUGUGCCGCGUAUGAAGAAAGCCUUCGCGGUUUUAAAGAACUUUUUAGAGGGGGAGGAAGGGGAGAAAAGUUAAUAUCCUUUGUGCACUGACAUUUCCCCCCGGAAAAAAGAGCCCGGUAUAUCCUCGGCGCGAGGGCGCCGGGGAAUACGGGGGGGGCGAACGUUAUUCGCAAAUUACUGGGCGUGAAAGGCACGCAGAGGGUUUUUUAAGACAAAAUGAAAACCCCCGGGUCUCCCGGGGAAUCCAUUUCUUAUUGGGAAGAUUGUGACUCUUGUAGAGGGGGUAGAAUUUCCAGGGGUGGCGGGAAAUGCGCAGAGAUCUGGAGAGAUACAGGGGGGGGAGGACGGCCCCCUGUACAAGAAUUGAGGCUCACGUGCGAAAAUGCGGGGGCACACAGGUUAGAUACCCUUGUAGUGCCAAGGGCGCAUUUCCCAUUUGCUCUAGCCCGGGGGGUCUCCUAUUCUAGAGCGGCCGCACCGCGCGAGCUCCUAAAUUUCCCCUAUAGAGAGACGCAUUUCGCGCGCUCUCUGGCGUCGUUUUUAUCACAGC
RNAcentral lists this ribosomal RNA (922 nucleotides) under uncultured Actinomyces sp. Its description in RNAcentral is "partial 16S ribosomal RNA". It matches the Rfam family "Bacterial small subunit ribosomal RNA", at positions 26 to 861 of the family's 1533-position model. Lineage: Bacteria; Bacillati; Actinomycetota; Actinomycetes; Actinomycetales; Actinomycetaceae. The record is from RNAcentral.